UUGGUAUCUUAGUGGCGGACGGGUGAGUAACGCGUGGGUAACCUGCCUUACACUGGGGGAUAACACUUAGAAAUAGGUGCUAAUACCGCAUAACAGGGAAAGAUGCAUGUCUUUUCCUUAAAAACUCCGGUGGUGUAAGAUGGACCCGCGUCUGAUUAGCUAGUUGGCGGGGUAACGGCCCACCAAGGCGACGAUCAGUAGCCGGCCUGAGAGGGUGAACGGCCACAUUGGGACUGAGACACGGUCCAAACUCCUACGGAAGGCAGCAG
This 269-nucleotide ribosomal RNA is filed under the name uncultured bacterium. RNAcentral's name for it is "partial 16S ribosomal RNA". It matches the Rfam family "Bacterial small subunit ribosomal RNA", at positions 84 to 354 of the family's 1533-position model. The record is from RNAcentral.